UGCAUAUGCAUUUCCGUCCCAAGGAUGAGCCCGCGUCUCAUUAGCUAGUUGGUAGGGUAAUGGCCUACCAAGGCAACGAUGAGUAGCUGGUCUGAGAGGAUGAUCAGCCACACUGGAACUGAAACACGGUCCAGACUCCUACGGGAGGCAGCAGUGGGGAAUAUUGCGCAAUGGGCGAAAGCCUGACGCAGCAACGCCGUGUGAGGGAUGAAGGCUUUCGGGUCGUAAACCUCUGUCGGAAGGGAAGAACGGGUAAGGGUCUAAUAGGCCUUUGUUUUGACGGUACCUUUAGAGGAAGCACCGGCUAACUCCGUG
RNAcentral lists this ribosomal RNA (315 nucleotides) under uncultured bacterium. RNAcentral's name for it is "bacterial SSU rRNA". It matches the Rfam family "Bacterial small subunit ribosomal RNA", at positions 200 to 507 of the family's 1533-position model. The record is from RNAcentral.